AAGGCGGAUUAUGGUGUUUUCAUUUCCAACAUCCAUGGAGAGGUGAUUGAUAGUCGAGUCGAUUCCGCUUAUAUUUCAUCUCCGAUUGCUGUAGAAGCAAAAGCGGUUCUUGUUGCUACUGAGUAUACUAUCCAACAGGAGGGGGCUCUAAGUUCUUCUCAGACUGUCUCAUGUUGGUAACCAUGCUCAAGGAAGAAAAGGAGCCUUGACCUUGGGACCAUGCUGCCGUGGGAUCUUGGAUCAAGCACCAUCUACAUUGCAAUAUGUUGGUUUGUGUCCAAUUCAUCCCUCGUAAACACAAUGUUAAAGCUGAUUGGCAUGCGAAGGGCUUGUCUCAUCGUAGUCUCCCCUUGUCUUGGUCUUUGCUGCUUUCAGACCCUACUUUCUCUUUUAGAGUCAAUGGUCCUCCCCUGCAAUCUAUUUAAUUGAUGAAUAUAAUGCCAC
Molecule: long non-coding RNA, 444 nt
Filed under: Linum usitatissimum (flax)
Lineage: Eukaryota; Viridiplantae; Streptophyta; Magnoliopsida; Malpighiales; Linaceae
Description: long non-coding RNA (LUSI_LNC004035)
Source: RNAcentral